This 630-nucleotide ribosomal RNA is filed under the name uncultured bacterium. Its description in RNAcentral is "bacterial SSU rRNA". It matches the Rfam family "Bacterial small subunit ribosomal RNA", at positions 9 to 683 of the family's 1533-position model. The record is from RNAcentral.
GAGUUUGAUCCUGGCUCAGAACGAACGCUGGCGGCAGGCUUAACACAUGCAAGUCGAACGGUUGUAGCAAUACAGCAGUGGCAGACGGGUGAGUAACACGUGGGAACCUUCCUAGGGGUACGGAACAACUCAGGGAAACUUGAGCUAAUACCGUAUACGUCCGUGAGGAGAAAGAUUUAUCGCCCUUAGACGGGCCCGCGUAGGAUUAGGUAGUUGGUGAGGUAACGGCUCACCAAGCCUACGAUCCUUAGCUGAUCUGAGAGGAUGAUCAGCCACACUGGGACUGAGACACGGCCCAGACUCCUACGGGAGGCAGCAGUGGGGAAUCUUGGACAAUGGGCGCAAGCCUGAUCCAGCCAUGCCGCGUGAGUGAAGAAGGCCUUCGGGUUGUAAAGCUCUUUUACCAGGGACGAUAAUGACGGUACCUGGAGAAUAAGCCCCGGCAAACUUCGUGCCAGCAGCCGCGGUAAUACGAAGGGGGCUAGCGUUGUUCGGAAUUACUGGGCGUAAAGCGCACGUAGGCGGAUUGUUAAGUCAGAGGUGAAAUCCCGGAGCUCAACUUCGGAACUGCCUUUGAUACUGGCAAUCUAGAGUCCGGAAGAGGUUAGUGGAAUUCCCAGUGUAGAGGUG